AAUUUUGUUGCUAGCUGGAGUAACAUAUUUUAAGUAGUAUACUUUAUAAAUGUUUGUGAAGUGGCAAAAUUAUUGACAAGUAACAUCUUACAGGAAUUAGCAAAUUGAUCAAAAGUAACACCUCAUUUUGCAGAAAAGCUUCAAAGGAUCUUGAUUUUGAAAACCCUGGAAAAAUAUAGGGAAGCUUUUUGAUAGCCAUCUUUACUGUCUGAAAUCUACAUUUUCAAAUUCUUGCCUUCAGAUAUGCCUACCUUUUUGCUAAGGUUGAAAAGAGUACUGAAGAGUAUAAGAAGAUAAUACGAUAAGAUAAUAUUAAUAUUAUAAGGUUGAUAAGUAUGGUUAUGGCAAAAGAAGAAAAAUCAUCCUUGAAUCUUAAAGAAUUGAGCUUCCAGUUCAUGCGUUACGUAAACUGUUAAAGCUACGCAAAAAUAUUGUAGGUAUUACAGAAUUGUCAUCUUUCUGGGCCUAUACGGUCGCACAACUCCAAAAAAGUUCAUAGUUUCCUUUCAUUUUUUGUAAUCGUUUCUUGAAGUAUGGCAAAUGGAAAAAAUAAUACGGUAGAGUUGAGUAGUUUAUGUAUCCAUUUUGAA
Long non-coding RNA from Pieris brassicae (large cabbage white), 590 nucleotides. RefSeq lists it as uncharacterized. Lineage: Eukaryota; Metazoa; Arthropoda; Insecta; Lepidoptera; Pieridae. The transcript is spliced from 3 exons. The record is from RefSeq and is a predicted model, not a curated record.